UAUUACAAUGACUCUCGGCAACGGAUAUCUCGGCUCUUGCAUCGAUGAAGAACGUAGCGAAAUGCGAUACUUGGUGUGAAUUGCAGAAUCCCGUGAACCAUCGAGUCUUUGAACGCAAGUUGCGCCCGAAGCCAUUAGGCCGAGGGCACGCCUGCCUGGGUGUCACAC
This 168-nucleotide ribosomal RNA is filed under the name Amphicarpaea bracteata (hog peanut). RNAcentral's name for it is "5.8S ribosomal RNA". It matches the Rfam family "5.8S ribosomal RNA". Rfam says of the family: 5.8S ribosomal RNA (5.8S rRNA) is a component of the large subunit of the eukaryotic ribosome. It is transcribed by RNA polymerase I as part of the 45S precursor that also contains 18S and 28S rRNA. Functionally, it is thought that 5.8S rRNA may be involved in ribosome translocation. The record is from RNAcentral. Lineage: Eukaryota; Viridiplantae; Streptophyta; Magnoliopsida; Fabales; Fabaceae.